RNA transcript from Quercus lobata, 3385 nucleotides. It is a transcript of the gene named Tetratricopeptide repeat (TPR)-like superfamily protein, with no coding region annotated. Lineage: Eukaryota; Viridiplantae; Streptophyta; Magnoliopsida; Fagales; Fagaceae. The transcript is spliced from 3 exons. The record is from RefSeq and is a predicted model, not a curated record.
ACCUACCAAUAACGUGGGCGCGAGCAUCAGUGGGUUCUUCUGCUUCUCUCGUUUGUGUUAACUUAUCAGCCCACACAGUAGGUUUGUGUUUUCAUGAAUUUUCUAUAUUUGUUUCCAUUCACCACCUUUCAACCUCUUGGGUUGGACUAGUCUGCGUAGCUGUUGCUGAAGUUCCGGCUUGGGAUUUGGCUAAGGUAGACCUCACUUUUCACUACCUUUCUUUUUAUGCCCUGAACGUGUUUGACGUUUUGUCUAAACCAAAAAGCAACAUAGUUAUCCUCGCAUUGGAAUUGUCGUGGCAUUGCUAAAGCCUAAACAAAAACCACCCUUGGAGCUUUAACAGAGAGCAAAGCCCAGAUUGCAUCAACUGUAUAGCUCUCUUAUACAGCCAUACUCUCAUUGCCAACAUCUCAAAAUCCCAAUCAUGAGAUAACUACAAUGGAAGUAGUCGUAGCAGCCCCUCAGUUGAAAGCAGUAGGACUAAGUUGUGUUCAUGCUCAUACUGUAUCCAUUUUCCCUAGUAGUACUAGUUUAAGUAAAAGUAAGUAUGCACUUCAGAUUCGGCAGCCUCUACGCAGCCCCAAACAAAAUGUUUUCAUCAUUAAUGAUGAUAAUAAUAAUGACAAAACCGAUACUUCAAAACCAAUGGAAAUGGCAAUAAAAACUACUACUACUCCUAAUAAGAAGAGAGGCAGCAGCAGGUGCACAAGCUCGGAUAUUUUGCGAUUGAUGGAUGGGCUUGGCCUCCCCAUACCCUAUGACAUGUAUGCUUCCCUUAUCCAAGAAUGCACUCUCACUGCGGACUCUGCAAGAGCUAUGGAGUUGCAUGCCCGCAUCACCCCGAGGCUCGAACUUCCAUUGCCUUUGCUUAACCGACUCCUUCUCAUGCACGUAUCAUGCGGUCUAUUUGACACUGCCAGGCAUUUGUUUGAACAAAUGUUCCGUAAGGACAUCCUCACUUGGGCCACCAUGAUUGUUGCUUAUGCCAGCAAUGAAGACUACCAUGAAGCUGUAACUUUGUUUGUGAAAAUGCAAUCCCAAUCCCAAUUUAAUUUUUUUGAAUUACCCACAUGGCUCAUAGUUUGCGUUCUCAAGGCAUGUUUGUACACUAUGGAUAUGGAACUCGGAAAGCAACUCCAUGGCAGCUUACUGAAGUUGGGUAUUGCUAAUGAUUUCUUUCUCAACAGUUUCCUAAUCGAAUUUUAUGGGAAAUUCAAAUGCCUAGAAGGUGCUGACUUUGUCUUUAAUCAACUCCCACGUCACAAUACUCUGACAUGGACGGCCAGAAUCAUUAGCAGCUGCAGGGAAGAGCAUUUCCAUGAUGUUUUCACUUACUUUAGGGAGAUGGGAAGGGCAGGAAUUAAGAAAAACAAGUUCACAUUUUCUAGUGUUCUCAAGGCAUGUGGUGGGAUUCAUGACCAUGGGCAUUGCGGUCGACAGGUCCAUGCCAAUGCCAUCAAGCUUGGGCUGGAUACAGAUACUUUUGUGCAGUGCGGGUUAAUUGACAUGUAUGGAAGAAGUGGGCUACUGCCAGAUGCAAAACUGGUGUUUGAGAUGAAUGGUGACAACAAGAGAAACACUGCAUGUUUGAAUGCAAUGGUUACCGGGUACAUGCGCAACGGCUUUUACAUUGAAGCCGUCAAGUUUCUGUAUCAGAUCAAGGCAGCUGGAGUGCAGCCCCCAGAAUCUCUGCUCAACCAACUGAGGCUAGCUUGUGGUAGUAACGCUACUGAAAGCAAGAUCUAAACGGACAGGUAUGUUUAACCACUGGUGGAGGUGCUGAUAUAUGCGUAUGGCAUAUCUGCAUAAGCUGAGUUAGGAUUAGUUUUUAUUUUCUGCAUCAAUUUCUAUUCAAAAGAUUAUCCUUCCUUUGCAAAAGUCAAUUCUCUAAUAUACUAUUUUUUGCUCAAUACCAAGCAAGGUUUGAUAGUUUUUGGUUCUAGAGCAUUUAUAUAUUCUGUAGGAACACAUUCUGAAGGAUCUACUCAAAAGGGAACAAUGGAAAGCCAAAAUUGGUUUCAGUUUAGACAGGACUCUUUUUUUACUACCAACAGUGCUUUGAACAAAUAGCAUCAUGAAAGUCAGCCACAAUCAAAAGAGUGUGGGAGGGGGGAGAUCAACACAUCCAAUGGGGUAGGCACACUGACAAUCUUCAUUAUUUGAUGAAGUUAUUUAAUUUUCUUUAUUCUGGAUGUUGGAUGUUGGUCAAUAUUCUUGUCAGUAACACUUCUGCACCCCCUCCCUCCUAUCUUAUUCCAACCCAAAGAAGAUGAAAAAAUAAAAGAGGAUUUCUUAUUAUUGCUGAAACUGGUCCGUUUUGGUGAGACCUAGGGAGCUUCUUGCUUUAUUGUGCAAUAGAUUACUGAGCAGUUAGUAAGUCCUACUCUCUCUCUCACACACACACAUAUCAGCACAACUUCAAUAAUAGCAAGGGUAGAUGCAUGGGCAAUAUUUCCAGGAGUUUAAUUUUGAUCUUUUAUAUUAUGUAUUCAGAAGCAGCCAUUUUACAAUACCCCUUGAUGAAAAUGGGAGAUUUCUUGCAAUCUUUAUGAUGGGAGGCAUAGUGGCAUACAUAUCCAAUGGGUGAAUUAGCAUUCUGAUGCAAGGCAUUUCAAGUAACUAUAUGCCUAUAUCCUAAUCCACUUGUGACUAAUUAGUUAGUUAGUUAGUUAGUUAGACGAUUUCUUAAGCAUUAGCCUAUAGGAUUUAGACACUUGUCAACUAUCUAGAGGCUGCCAAUGCCAAACAACUAGUAUAAGUAGGAGAAUGUAAGCUCUUUGUAAAUCAGUUUUUGGUAAUUGAAUGAAUUGUUAGCCUUUGUGUUUUAUUUGGAACUGUGUGUUCUUGCUGAGGAACUUAUCCACCUAUCAAUGUGUUCUUAGCAACUCAGCCUUUCAUUGUUUCUAAACCAUAGACAAACAGCCCAUCACAUCCCCUGCAUCACAUUCCUAAUUAAUACACAAGGAUACUAAGAUGGAUUUUAGUACGGUGUUUGAGCUAUAAACUGUAAUUGUUGGUUCCAGAAUUCACCAAGCAGUUGCGGUGAGUGGCAAAAUUGCACUUCAUGAUAAAAUUCAUUAUCAUCUUUCAGAAAAAAAAGAAAAAAAAAAAAGGGUGACGGAUGCAGACAAUUGUUUUCAGAUAGGAGGGGGAGGGGCCAAUGAUAAUGAGUAAUGGGGCAUAUAUGAGCUUUGUCCAUGCCAGAUGGGGAUGAAAUGUUAGUGGAUGUCAUGUAUUGUAAACAUCUCCAACCUUGUUCUUGAUGGGAGGAUUAAUGUUCUGAAAACGAAGGUAGAGAUUAUCUCAACUCCAUUUGUAAGAUUUUUUGUGCAUUGCAUAAUUUCUUGACAGAUCCUUUGUUAAUGAGAUUCUUGCUUUCAACAUC